ACGGGAGGCAGCAGUGGGGAAUAUUGCACAAUGGGGGAAACCCUGAUGCAGCGACGCCGCGUGAGUGAAGAAGUAUUUCGGUAUGUAAAGCUCUAUCAGCAGGAAAGAAAAUGACGGUACCUGACUAAGAAGCCCCGGCUAACUACGUGCCAGCAGCCGCGGUAAUACGUAGGGGGCAAGCGUUAUCCGGAUUUACUGGGUGUAAAGGGAGCGUAGACGGUAAGGCAAGUCUGAAGUGAAAUGCCAGGGCUCAACCCUGGAACUGCUUUGGAAACUGUCCUACUAGAGUGCAGAAGAGGUAAGUGGAAUUCCUAGUGUAGCGGUGAAAUGCGUAGAUAUUAGGAGGAACACCAGUGGCGAAGGCGGCUUACUGGACUGUAACUGACGUUGAGGCUCGAAAGCGUGGGGAGCAAACAGGAUUAGAUACCCUGGUA
RNAcentral lists this ribosomal RNA (434 nucleotides) under uncultured Lachnospiraceae bacterium. RNAcentral's name for it is "partial 16S ribosomal RNA". It matches the Rfam family "Bacterial small subunit ribosomal RNA", at positions 341 to 792 of the family's 1533-position model. The record is from RNAcentral. Lineage: Bacteria; Bacillati; Bacillota; Clostridia; Lachnospirales; Lachnospiraceae.